Molecule: long non-coding RNA, 539 nt
Organism: Mugil cephalus (flathead mullet)
Lineage: Eukaryota; Metazoa; Chordata; Actinopteri; Mugiliformes; Mugilidae
Exons: 3
Source: RefSeq, a predicted model, not a curated record
UAUACUUGGGCUGGAUUAGGGCCGUCAUAAACAUUUACAUUUAAAUGGGCCACAUCUUUGCUGUUCAACUGGGCUACUUCCAAGACAAAGGAUGAGGGUUUACACACGUAUGUACAUAAAUAUAUAUAUAUAUAUAUAUACAUAAUUUCCUUUUUCUUUUUUUCUUCUUUUUCUUUGAAAACAUUUACAACAGUAUCCAAACUUAUAAACUAUAACACCAUCGGAGCUGGCCGAGCCGUCGCCAUUUUGUUCCUCCCCCUCCCUCUUCUUCCUGGAGUUCACGGCCCCUCUCAGAUCCGCGGUUCGGCGUCGGUCUCUCUGGACCUGGAGCUCCAGGUUACGAAAAUGAAUGAAUGAAGCGCCGCCUCAUGAAGAACCAGAUGAGCCAGUACAAGCUGCUCAGACCAUGGACAGGAUCUGCUGACGGAGCGAGGACAUGGAGGACAGACGCCAUCAUGACACUCAACCUCACAGGUGUGAUUCCCACAGGAGAGGGAGGAGCCACACACCUAAGAGACAUAACCGGGUGUUUACAACGU